UUUAAAACGUCGUGAGACAGUUUGGUCCUUAUCUGUUGCGGGCGCAGGAUAUUUGAGGAGAUCUUUCCCUAGUACGAGAGGACCGGGAUGGACGAACCUAUGGUGUACCAGUUGUUCCGCCAGGAGCAUCGCUGGGUAGCUAUGUUCGGCAGGGAUAACCGCUGAAAGCAUCUAAGCGGGAAGCCUACUUCAAGAUAAGAUAUCCCAUGGCGUAAAGUCAUCUGAAGGCUCGUGGUAGACCACCACGUCGAUAGGUCGGGUGUGGAAGUGCAGUAAUGCAUGCAGCUUACCGAUACUAAUCAGCCGUGCGGCUUAUCCAUAUU
RNAcentral lists this ribosomal RNA (323 nucleotides) under Desulfobulbaceae bacterium BRH_c16a. Its description in RNAcentral is "bacterial LSU rRNA". It matches the Rfam family "Bacterial large subunit ribosomal RNA", at positions 2610 to 2925 of the family's 2925-position model. The record is from RNAcentral. Lineage: Bacteria; Pseudomonadati; Thermodesulfobacteriota; Desulfobulbia; Desulfobulbales; Desulfobulbaceae.